Molecule: ribosomal RNA, 253 nt
Filed under: uncultured bacterium
Lineage: Bacteria
Description: partial 16S ribosomal RNA
Rfam family: Bacterial small subunit ribosomal RNA
Source: RNAcentral
UACGUAGGGCGCAAGCGUUAUCCGGAAUUAUUGGGCGUAAAGAGCUCGUAGGCGGUUUGUCGCGUCUGCCGUGAAAGUCCGGAGCUCAACUCCGGAUCUGCGGUGGGUACGGGCAGACUAGAGUGCAGUAGGGGAGACUGGAAUUCCUGGUGUAGCGGUGAAAUGCGCAGAUAUCAGGAGGAACACCGAUGGCGAAGGCAGGUCUCUGGGCUGUAACUGACGCUGAGGAGCGAAAGCAUGGGGAGCGAACAGG